GGGACAUGGAGGGAGACAGAGGCAGAGAUGGGGGAGAGAGGCAGAGAGACAGAGACGAGAGGAGGAGGACACAGAGAGACAGGGAGAAUGACAGAGACAGAGACACAGAGAGAGACACAGGUGAGAGAGGCAGAGAGACAGAGACGAGAGGAGGAGGACACAGAGAUAGAGGGAUACAGAGACAGGGAGAUGAGAGAGGCAGAGAGACAGAGACAAGAAGAGGAGGACACAGAGAUAGAGGGAUACAGAGACAGGGAGAUGAGAGAGGCAGAGAGACAGAGACAAGAAGAGGAGGACACAGAGAUAGAGGGAUACAGAGACAGGGAGAUGAGAGAGCCAGAGACACAGAGAGAGACACAGGUGAGAGAGGCAGAGAGACAGAGACAAGAAGAGGAGGACACAGAGAUAGAGGGAUACAGAGACAGGGAGAUGAGAGAGGCAGAGAGACAAAGACAAGAAGAGGAGGACACAGAGAUAGAGGGAUACAGAGACAGGGAGAUGACAGAGACAGAGACACAGAGAGAGACACAGAUGAGAGAGGCAGAGAGACAGAGACAAGAAGAGGAGGACACAGAGAUAGAGGGAUACAGAGACAGGGAGAUGACAGAGACAGAGACAGAGAGAGACACAGAUGAAAGAGGCAGAGAGACAGAGACGAGAGGAGGAGGACACAGAGAUAGACAGGGAGAUGACAGAGACAGAGAGACACAGAGACACAGAUGAAAUAGGCAGAGAGAAAGAGACGAGAGGAGGAGGACACAGAGAUAGAGAGAGACAGAGACAGGGAGAUGACAGAGACAGAGACAGAGAGAGACACAGAUGAGAGAGGCAGAGAGACAGAGACGAGAGGAGGAGGACACAGAGAUAGACAGGGAGAUGACAGAGACUUAGAAAGGGGGAUGACAGAGACAGAAACACAGAGAGAGACAGAGAUGAGAGGAGGAGGACACAGAGAUAGAUAGGGAGAUGAUAGAGACAGAGAGAGACAGGGGAAUGAGAGAGACAGAGACAGAGAUGAGAGGAGGAGGACACAGAGACAGAGAGAGACAGGGAGAUGAUGGAAACAGAAAGAGAAACACAGAGAGCAGACAGAGGAAGAGAGACAGAGGGACAGAGAUAAGAGAGGAAGACAGAGAAAGAGAGACACAGAUGGGAAGAUGAGAGACAGA
RNAcentral lists this long non-coding RNA (1169 nucleotides) under Pan troglodytes (chimpanzee). RNAcentral describes it as "long non-coding RNA NONPTRT008321". Lineage: Eukaryota; Metazoa; Chordata; Mammalia; Primates; Hominidae. The record is from RNAcentral.